Molecule: long non-coding RNA, 346 nt
Filed under: Anas zonorhyncha (Eastern spot-billed duck)
Lineage: Eukaryota; Metazoa; Chordata; Aves; Anseriformes; Anatidae
Description: lncRNA (ENSAZOG00000015318.1)
Source: RNAcentral
GAUGGCCUACAAGGAGAAUGUGAACCCCGGCUUGUACGGCCUGCUUAAGAAUGGGGCCCCCGCCCCCCCCGCAGCCCAGCGGGUGCCCCUCAAGGACCCCGCCACCACGGGGACCCCCUCCGAUGCCCUCCUGCUGCAGAGAGCCACCGGCCGGCCUCCCCCCGUGCCAGCAGCAGGACGCGUCCCUGUGGAGCCCAACACCUUGGUGGCCCCCCAGUACCUGCUGGCAGAAGCCAGCUUCGGUUUCAGAAGAGUACAGGCCAUGGAGCUUGGAUCAGUUCACAGGGGAGAGAAGACAGCGCAGGGAGAGGACAGCCAAGUCCAGCAGGAGCUGAGGCCUUUCUGA